CCUANGGGGGGCAGCAACUGGGAAUCGUGCGCAAUGGGCGAAAGCCUGACGCCGCGACGCCGCGUGAAGGAUGAAGGCCUUCGGGUCGUAAACUUCUUUUGUUUUAACUGAAAGGUUAUUAAGAAUAAGCACCUGCUAACUCUGUGCCAGCAGCCGCGGUAAUACAGAGGGUGCAAGCGUUAUCCGGAUUUAUUGGGCGUAAAGCGUUUCGUAGGUGGUUUGGAAAGUUACACUUUAAAGCCUGGGGCUUAACCUCAGAAAGGGGUGUAAUACUGCCAGACUUGAAUUAUCUCGGGGUUUAUCGGAACUGUCGGUGUAGGGGUGAAAUCCGUUGAUAUCGACAGGAACACCAAGGGCGAAGGCGGAUAACUAGGGAUAUAUUGACACUGAGGAACGACAGCUAGGGGAGCGAAAGGGAUUAGAUACCCGGNUANUC
Molecule: ribosomal RNA, 436 nt
Filed under: uncultured bacterium
Lineage: Bacteria
Description: bacterial SSU rRNA
Rfam family: Bacterial small subunit ribosomal RNA
Source: RNAcentral